Molecule: ribosomal RNA, 252 nt
Filed under: uncultured Paenibacillus sp.
Lineage: Bacteria; Bacillati; Bacillota; Bacilli; Caryophanales; Paenibacillaceae
Description: partial 16S ribosomal RNA
Rfam family: Bacterial small subunit ribosomal RNA
Source: RNAcentral
UACGUAGGGGGCAAGCGUUGUCCGGAAUUAUUGGGCGUAAAGCGCGCGCAGGCGGCCGUUUAAGUCUGGUGUUUAAACCCGGGGCUCAACUCCGGGACGCAUGGGAAACUGGACGGCUUGAGUGCAGAAGAGGAGAGUGGAAUUCCACGUGUAGCGGUGAAAUGCGUAGAGAUGUGGAGGAACACCAGUGGCGAAGGCGACUCUCUGGUCUGUAACUGACGCUGAGGCGCGAAAGCGUGGGGAGCAAACAGG